Molecule: long non-coding RNA, 726 nt
Filed under: Eucalyptus grandis
Lineage: Eukaryota; Viridiplantae; Streptophyta; Magnoliopsida; Myrtales; Myrtaceae
Description: long non-coding RNA (EGRA_LNC003215)
Source: RNAcentral
UGCGCAAUAUCGGACCAGGUCAAGCUCUAGGUAUUGGUACGUUCUUCUAAUUAUUUGUGCCUUAGGUCCCUCUUUUUUUUUCAUGCCCUGAGAAGUCAUUUUUAAGCAGUUAAAGAAGAGGAUGACUUAAUUCUCCAGAUAACCCAAUAUUUUGGAGUCAGUUGCGGUGAUUGUUAUCAAUUUUUUGGUCAUAUGCAGCAAGGCACUGUUUCUUUAUCCAUUUUUGGUAGAUUAAUGGUUCUAUCAAAGUUGCUCAAAUAACUAAAGAAUGCCAAAAUACGAAAAAAAAAUAAUAAUAAAAUGAACGAAACAAUCAAGCUGGAAAUAGACUGUAUCUGGGGCUUGUUGAUCAUUAAUUUUAACUAGCUCACCGUACACAUGAACUUGAAAAGAAAAAGGACAGUGAAAUAAGAAAGUGGUGACAGCAAGCCUCUUGACAAAACUCUUCUCCCUUCGCAGAUGUGGAGGAGACCUCUAGUCCUAUGUGCUACCGAUCGAGUUCCCAGGAAAUGGAUUAUUGGACUUCACUGGAUAAAGCAGGCCGCCCAGGGACUAGCUUUUGAGUUGAUUACGCUGAAGCUACUGUAGAAUGGUUUCCAUAUGCAAUAUAUGGAGAGCUAGGAAUGACUUGCUGCAUAUUGCUCCUCCUGUUGACGUUGGGAGGAAUCCCCUUGUGCUUGCAGCAAGAUAUAGCAUCGAAGGGUGCAUAAGCUGCUGUAGAGAAAG